GAUCAUGGCUCAGGAUGAACGCUAGCGACAGGCUUAACACAUGCAAGUCGAGGGGCAGCACGGUGUAGCGAUACACUGGUGGCGACCGGCGCACGGGUGAGUAACACGUGUGCAACCAACCCCGUACCGGGAGAUAACCCGCGGAAACGUGGACUAACAUCCCAUGACACUCUAGAGCCGCAUGGCUCUAGAUUUAAAAUUCCGGUGGUACGGGACGGGCACGCGCGACAUUAGGUAGUUGGCGGGGUAAGGG
RNAcentral lists this ribosomal RNA (253 nucleotides) under uncultured bacterium. RNAcentral describes it as "partial 16S ribosomal RNA". It matches the Rfam family "Bacterial small subunit ribosomal RNA", at positions 15 to 263 of the family's 1533-position model. The record is from RNAcentral.